UUACGGCCACAUUGCGUUGAAACAUCGGUUCUUGUACGAUCACGGAAGUUAAGCAACGUCAAGUCUGGUCAUUACCUAGAUGAGUGACCGCUUCGGAAUGCUAGGUGUUGUAA
This is a non-coding RNA of Acanthosepion pharaonis, 113 nucleotides long. Lineage: Eukaryota; Metazoa; Mollusca; Cephalopoda; Sepiida; Sepiidae. The record is from the annotation of a GenBank genome assembly.